UACGGGGGGAGCAAGCGUUGUUCGGAUUUACUAGGCGUAAAGGGUGCGUAGGCGGUCGGGUAAGUCUGAUGUGAAAUCUCACAGCUUAACUGUGAAACUGCAUUGGAUACUAUCCGGCUCGAGGAAUGGAGGGGAGACUGGAAUACUUGGUGUAGCAGUGAAAUGCGUAGAUAUCAAGUGGAACACCAGUGGCGAAGGCGAGUCUCUGGACAUUUCCUGACGCUGAGGCACGAAAGCCAGGGGAGCAAACGGG
RNAcentral lists this ribosomal RNA (253 nucleotides) under uncultured bacterium. Its description in RNAcentral is "partial 16S ribosomal RNA". It matches the Rfam family "Bacterial small subunit ribosomal RNA", at positions 524 to 776 of the family's 1533-position model. The record is from RNAcentral.